Molecule: microRNA precursor, 80 nt
Filed under: Bombyx mori (domestic silkworm)
Lineage: Eukaryota; Metazoa; Arthropoda; Insecta; Lepidoptera; Bombycidae
Description: miRNA-2823
Source: RNAcentral
GCAGACGUCGCCAGGAUCGCCAACGCGUCCGAAGGACUCGUCGUUGCCUACGGAUAUUCUGAAAAUUCUACGACAUUCAA